Long non-coding RNA from Oncorhynchus keta (chum salmon), 676 nucleotides. RefSeq lists it as uncharacterized. Lineage: Eukaryota; Metazoa; Chordata; Actinopteri; Salmoniformes; Salmonidae. The record is from RefSeq and is a predicted model, not a curated record. The transcript has 4 exons.
AUGGUCAGUAGUGAGGUGGUGUUUAUUAAUUAGUGUGUGUGAGGUGUAUAUAUGGUCAGUAGUGAGAUGGUGUUUAUUAAUUAGUGUGUGUAAGGUGUAUAUAUGGUCAGUAGUGAGAUGGUGUUUAUUAAUUAGUGUGUGUGAGGUGUAUAUAUGGUCAGUAGUGAGGUGGUGUUUAUUAAUUAGUGUGUGUGAGGUGUAUAUAUGGUCAGUAGUGAGAUGGUGUUUAUUAAUUAGUGUGUGUAAGGUGUAUAUAUGGUCAGUAGUGAGAUGGUGUUUAUUAAUUAGUGUGUGUAAGGUGUAUAUAUGGUCAGUAGUGAGAUGGUGUUUAUUAAUUAGUGUGUGUGAGGUGUAUAUAUGGUCAGUAGUGUGAUGGUGUUUAUUAAUUAGUGUGUGUGAGGUGUAUAUAUGGUCAGUAGUGCGAUGGUGUUUAUUAAUUAGUGUGUGUGAGGUGUAUAUAUGGUCAGUAGUGUGAUGGUGUUUAUUAAUUAGUGUGUGUGAGGUGUAUAUAUGGUCAGUAGUGAGGUGGUGUUUAUUAAUUAGUGUGUGUAAGGUGUAUAUAUGGUCAGUAGUGUGAUGGUGUUUAUUAAUUAGUGUGUGUAAGGUGUAUAUAUGGUCAGUAGUGAGGUGGUGUUUAUUAAUUAGUGUGUGUAAGGUGUAUAUAUGGUCAGUAGUG